This 901-nucleotide small RNA is filed under the name Drosophila pseudoobscura pseudoobscura. RNAcentral's name for it is "GA32291". The record is from RNAcentral. Lineage: Eukaryota; Metazoa; Arthropoda; Insecta; Diptera; Drosophilidae.
UACGCGUUGUUUGGUGUUUUGCUGUUGUUGUUGUUUCUGUUGUUGUGGCUGCUGCUGUUGCUGUUGUUUUUUCAGCUAAGGUGAGGGGCCAUAGACACACUUAAGUAAAGUUAAAUAUUUGCACAAAUUAAAACCGAAAAUAGCUGAAGCGAUGAGAAAGUUUCAGGAGACUAAACCGCAGCACAACACACUGGUAGAGAACACCGACGGCAAUUGCUUCGAUACGAUACGAUACGAUAUUUGCAUAUGUGGAGAUGGAGGGGCCGGAGACGAGGCAGGGCGAGUGCAUAAAUAAAUAAUGCAAAACCGUUGACCGACAAAAAAUUUUGGUAUUGCAAAAGGAAUAUCACAGUCCUUUCUGCAAGUAAUUGUUCACUCCUUCCUGUACUUUAUUUCUCUAUAUAUUUUAUUUGUAUUUUUUAAGCCUCGGAGUCUACCGGCGUUUCUCGGAGCAGGAGGAGGUGGAGGUGCUGGUGGCGGGGAGCCUGCGGUGCUGCCUCUGCGGGCUAUAUAGAAGCCGACGCCAGCGACACCGACAACGACAACGAAGGCAGCGGCUGAGGCGGCGGCGACAACGAAAGCUCCAGAGAGACGGACAGCGAGACGAUCGCCGGGGAAUUCUCGGUGUCGUUAACACAACAGUUCGGCUCGGAUCGGAUCGGCCGUUGGUUGGCCGCUGAUUCGCGCCUCGGAUCAUUUCGGAUCGCUGCUUCGUACCCUCCUCUUAUCGGCGGAGAUUAAGCGACUACUAUAUAUAUGUAUGUAUGUACAUACAUAUGUGUACAAUACAUCUGUACAUAAAUCCAUGUGUACAUAUAAUUCAAAUUGUUUAAUGGCCCACUAAAUGUGUACAUAUAUAUAAUCUGUAUAUAGAACGCGUAUUUGUCUGUGGCUUUGUAUG